GUCGUGAGAUGUUGGGUUAAGUCCCGCAACGAGCGCAACCCCUACUGUGUGUUGUAUCACUCACACGGGACUGCCGAGAGAAACUCGGAGGAAGGUGGGGAUGACGUCAAGUCAGCAUGGCCCUUACGUCUUGGGCUACACCCACGCUACAAUGGCCGGUACAACGGGCUGCGAAACCGCGAGGUGGAGCAAAUCCCUUAAAGCCGGUCUCAGUUCGGAUUGUAGGCUGCAACUCGCCUACAUGAAGCCGGAGUUGCUAGUAACCGCCGGUCAGCAUACGGCGGUGAAUAUGUUCCCGGGCCUUGUACACACCGCCCGUCACGUCAUGAAAGCUGGCAACACCCGAAGUCGGUGGGCCAACCGCAAGGAGGCAGCCGUCGAAGGUGGGGUUGGUGAUUGGGGACGAAGUCGUAACAAGGUAGCCGUACCGGAAGGUGCGGCUGGAUCACCUCCUUUCUAGGGAGAUCCGAGUCUCGGCCAUCGGUGAGGUCGGGGCGUUGAAGGCUCUCAGGUUGAUCGCACGGUCGUUCGUGUCCCUCCGCCAGGUGGGGCGCGCCGGCAGCCGCAAGGCUGCGGGAGACCGACCGCGACCUGGCAAAAACACCGAAAACCCGUUCGAACAUCCGAUCCGCGAGUUCCUGCCACUCUUCAUGUGUUAAGGGUGCAGCCGCCGGCGGCGACCGAAGCGUCUCCGCGACGAGUCGGCAUUUGCCCCCGGCGGGCGUUUAGCUCAGCUGGUUAGAGCACUGCCCUGAUAAGGCAGAGGUCUCUGGUUCGAGUCCAGAAACGCCCACCAUCUCCGCACCCCACAUGGGGCGGGGGGACGUAGCUCAGCUGGAAGAGCAUCUCCUUUGCAAGGAGAGGGUCAGGAGUUCGAGUCUCCUCGUCUCCACCACACAGCCCAGGCGGGUGGCACCCGACCAGACGAAUUGAAGAGUCCACGUCGAGCCGUGGCACGAGCCCUCGUAACGCACUCGGGGGAGACCGCCCGUCGGUUCGGUCCGAGGGGCUCCGGCCCGGCCAUCGAGUCACUGAUCCGUGUCCUUCCAAACGAAGGCCACCGACCAGCGGAUCGCUGGAUCGGCGACACCACCGAGGCGUCGUCGGCGUAGCCCGUUUCACGACGGGCCUGCACCUUAACAACUGGAUACGUGUUUCGGCAGUAAAUCGAGAUCUUCGAUUUCGCCGAGUUGUACAAGGAACCAUCCCGAAAAUCCUGCCGCUCCGACGAGUGACAGGGUAAAUUCCCCAUUUGCCUCUGGCCGCUUUGGUCAGAUGCUGAAGGGGUCAAGCUACAAAGGGCACGAGGUGGAUGCCUUGGCGCCAAGAGCCGAUGAAGGACGUGGCAGGCUGCGAAAAGCUCCGGGGAGUCGCGAGCAGACGUUAUAUCCGGAGAUGU
This 1399-nucleotide small RNA is filed under the name uncultured bacterium. RNAcentral describes it as "bacterial SSU rRNA". The stretch from base 1 to 456 matches the Rfam family "Bacterial small subunit ribosomal RNA", at positions 1064 to 1533 of the family's 1533-position model. The record is from RNAcentral.